Molecule: small RNA, 1026 nt
Filed under: Pan troglodytes (chimpanzee)
Lineage: Eukaryota; Metazoa; Chordata; Mammalia; Primates; Hominidae
Description: retained intron
Source: RNAcentral
UCGGAGACUGGCCAAGAUCACCGCUUGCACCGCGCUGUUGGGCGAGGCCCGGUCCCGUCUCUUUCCCAGGCCUGAGAUUCUCGCCCGGCACGGCCGCCCUGAGCGCCCCGGCCACCCCCAGCCCCGGCUCGCCCCUCAGGCCCCGGGCCUCCCCUCAACCCCCGGCCGGCGGCCCAGGCCCCGGAUCCGCGGGGGGGGACCCGGCCCCGGGGGGUGCGGGCCCCAUGGAGCUGAUGUUUGCAGAGUGGGAGGACGGAGAGCGCUUCUCAUUCGAGGAUUCGGACCGUUUUGAGGAGGAUUCACUCUGUUCCUUCAUCUCCGAGGCCGAGAGCCUCUGCCAGAACUGGCGGGGAUGGCGCAAACAGUCAGCGGGGCCCAAUUCCCCCACUGGCGGCGGUGGCGGAGGUGGCAGUGGCGGUACCAGAAUGCGAGGUGAGAGUGAGCUGGGGGGAAGAGGAGCGGCAGGCCCUGCUUGGGCCUCGCUCGGGAGCUGUCCGGGACCAGGAGCUGUCCCCGACCAAGAGCUCUCUUCAACCAGGGGAAGAAAGGGGAGCUGUCCCCGGCCGGGAGCUGUCCCCGACUGGGAGCUGUCCCAAGCUUAGAACAGACUUCAGAACUCGCUUUUCCGGCCUUCCUGGGGUGGGCUGGCUUCUCCACACCUGUGUGUGGGUGUGGGGGUGUGUGUGUGUGUGUGUGUGCGCGCGUGCGCGCGCUGUGACAGGGAGAUCCUGUGGACAGAAAGUAAAUCUUUCGUCACUCCUUUGCCUUAGAGAGGGGAUAAGGGAGAAGAAUCUUGUCUUUGACUUGGGAAUACUUAAGUGAGUUCAGUCUGAGGCAUACCGGAAAGUAGAGAGAAGAGAAUGUGGGUAGGGGGCUGAUUGUGAAGAAGUGACCACUUGUGGCUUGUCACCGCAUUGCAAAGUGCAUUGGGAGCUUCUUGAUUCGGGGUGAUGAUCUCUGAUCCCAGAAGCACCAAGAAGGGAUCCCACCCAGAGGAAAAUAGAGGUGAACUGGCCUGCCAGAGAU